RNAcentral lists this ribosomal RNA (414 nucleotides) under uncultured bacterium. RNAcentral describes it as "bacterial SSU rRNA". It matches the Rfam family "Bacterial small subunit ribosomal RNA", at positions 99 to 507 of the family's 1533-position model. The record is from RNAcentral.
CGAACGGGUGAGUAAUAUAUCGGAACGUCGCCCAGUCGGUGGGGGAUAACGUAGCGAAAGCUACGCUAAUACCGCAUACGAUCUAUGGAUGAAAGCGGGGGAUCGCAAGACCUCGCGCGAUUGGAGCGGCCGAUAUCAGAUUAGGUAGUUGGUGAGGUAAAGGCUCACCAAGCCGACGAUCUGUAGCUGGUCUGAGAGGACGACCAGCCACACUGGGACUGAGACACGGCCCAGACUCCUACGGGAGGCAGCAGUGGGGAAUUUUGGACAAUGGGCGCAAGCCUGAUCCAGCAAUGCCGCGUGCAGGAUGAAGGCCUUCGGGUUGUAAACUGCUUUUGUACGGAACGAAACGGUGAGCUCUAAUACAGUUUGCUAAUGACGGUACCGUAAGAAUAAGCACCGGCUAACUACGUG